GCUGGGCGUGGUGGCUCACGCCUGUAAUCCCAGCACUUUGGGAGGCUGAGGCAGGUGGAUCACCUGAGGUCAGGAGUUCAAGACCAGCCUGGCCAACAUGGUCAGACCCCGUCUCUA
Molecule: non-coding RNA, 117 nt
Organism: Nomascus leucogenys (northern white-cheeked gibbon)
Lineage: Eukaryota; Metazoa; Chordata; Mammalia; Primates; Hylobatidae
Rfam family: Metazoan signal recognition particle RNA
About the family: The signal recognition particle (SRP) is a universally conserved ribonucleoprotein.
Source: Rfam